GACGAACGCUGGCGGCGUGCCUAAUACAUGCAAGUCGAACGAGAGCGACCGGUGCUUGCACUGGUCAAUCUAGUGGCGAACGGGUGAGUAACACGUGGGUAACCUGCUCAUCAGAGGGGGAUAACAUCCGGAAACGGAUGCUAAAACCGCAUAGGUCUUCGAGCCGCAUGGCUUGAAGAGGAAAAGAGGCGCAAGCUUCUGCUGGUGGAUGGACCCGCGGGGCAUUAGCUAGUUGGUGAGGUAACGGCUCACCAAGGCCGUGAUGCAUAGCCGACCUGAGAGGGUGAUCGGCCACAUUGGAACUGAGACACGGCCCAGACUCCUACGGGAGGCAGCAGUAGGGAAUAUUCCGCAAUGGACGCAAGUCUGACGGAGCAACGCCGCGUGAGUGAAGAAGGUUUUCGGAUCGUAAAACUCUGUUGUUAGGGAAGAACAAGUGCUAGAGUAACUGUUAGCGCCUUGACGGUAUCUACACAGAAAGCCACGGCUAACUACGUG
Molecule: ribosomal RNA, 498 nt
Filed under: uncultured bacterium
Lineage: Bacteria
Description: partial 16S ribosomal RNA
Rfam family: Bacterial small subunit ribosomal RNA
Source: RNAcentral